RNAcentral lists this long non-coding RNA (1486 nucleotides) under Medicago truncatula (barrel medic). RNAcentral's name for it is "lncRNA gene48676". Lineage: Eukaryota; Viridiplantae; Streptophyta; Magnoliopsida; Fabales; Fabaceae. The record is from RNAcentral.
CGUCAAUCAAAGCCAACAAAUUGUUAUGAGAAGACCCACCUUCUUGAACAGCCCGUGUAGCCUUUCUUCCAAACUCUUGAGCACGUCGUCUAAUUUCCUUAGCUUCAUCACCAUCGUCCAUCAAUCUCCUCACAGCUUUUUCUAUACUAUGUCGACUCACCACUUUCUCUUUUUCUUGAAAACCAUGUAGAGCCCACUCUGUUGCACCCACCUCCACCCCAAUCCCUUGCACAACAGUUAUGAGCUUUUCAUUAUAGAAUUGUUCUCCUCGCACUGGCCAUGUAAUCAUCGGAAUCCCUGCACUAACAGCCUCAACGGUGGAGUUCCACCCGCAAUGUGUCAUGAAUGCACCCACAACAGUGUGGCUUAAAAUCAUUACUUGUGGUGCCCAUCCCCUAAUGAUAAAACCUUUCUUAUUUUCAAUGUUUCUCUCUUCGAACCCUUUAGGCAACCACUUUUCUUUAUCCUCUUCACUCUCAUCUUCUUUCCCUUUCUUCUCAGGAACAACCCAUACAAAUGCAUGACCCGAAUUUUCUAUUCCGCUCGCAAUCUCGUAAAGUUGUUUAUCAGAGAAAUAAGCGAUGCUCCCAAAACAUAUGUAUAACACUGAAUUUUCUUCCUUUGAGUUGAGCCAACUUAAACACUCAUGUGCGCUAACCACACUCUCAUUUCCCCUCACGGAUUUCUCUUCAAAAGUUUUACGAAUAAGACAAGCUGGACCAAGAUGCCAAGCCUUGUUACCCAUGGUUUUCUCAUAGUGUUUGAUGCAGUCUUCACCAUCAAGUUCAGCAAAGUUGUUAAUGAUGAGUCCCUUGGUUUUGCGGAUUGUGUCAAGCAUCCUUUCCUCAUAGUCGACGAAUUGCUUUGGUGGUGUUGAGGAAAAGGUGAUAGAAUGAGGAAAAUUUGGAACAACUAACGAACUCGAAUUCUUGUUAGAAUAUGAACGGUCUAUUCUUAGGGAUUCUAUGAGAGAUACGGUAAAUAGGGAGUAUCCGGUGAAGGCAAUGGUGGAGAUAUUAGGCUUAUUCACCAAGUCAUUAAUCCAAGGGUAUACACAAUCGGCAAUGAUGUAGUCAGGUUGAUCCUUCUCCACGAAUUCUUUAAUGGGUUCAUGGAGAAGCAUUGCACCUUUGCAUAUCUUGGCCAUGGUGGCAGGGUCAUUGUUGGAGGAUAAUGAUUCAACGCCGUCGGAGAGAUCGACUUGCUGGGAGGGAAAGUCGACGGUGUGAAGACGGAGGAAGAACGGAUCAACAGAGGAGAGAGAUUUGGUAAAGAAAUGAGCAUUGGAGGGAGUGGUGAUGAUCGUGACUUGUUGGCCAUGGGAUGCAAGCAGAGCUGCUAUGUCACCCAAAGGAAUCAUAUGACCAGGUGAUAGAAAUGGAAGCAUGUGAAGUUUCAAUGGCCGUUCAACUCCAACACCAUCUUCCAUUGCUGAUCAGUUUUUUUUUUCUUUUUUCUUUUGAGGGGAAAGAAUUGCUGAUCAAUU